UUCUGGUUUAAAAAAUACAUCACAUUUUUAACCCCUGAGAUUAAUGUUGUAUAAUCCUUGUAAAAAAUGGUUUUUACUAUAUUUACAUAGGCACUAGCUACACUGAGAAUUACCUUAAAUAUUUGCUAUUGAGGAUAAUUUUCAGUCAUAUUUGUGUUUGUAGGCUGAACCGUGUUUAUAUAGGAGAUCUUCAUCUAUCUGUGUUUUGAACUUCAUAGUGCAUUGUUCUGCAGUUAAAUGAUUAGGUAAAUAGUAUGGAAUUUCCCUGAUGCAUUUGGAUGAAAGUUUCUAUUUUCCUUAAAACUUCAUUACAGUACAUAAUUUUUGCAACAAACAUUGUGAUUCAGCUACAGGAAAGCAAGGAGAUCCUUUAUUCACAGGAGUCUGUUCUUGUGGUCUUGAAAGCAGCUUUGCUGAUGAGAUUCAGCUUACUGAAUUCCACUUAAAGGGAGCUGUGCACCCGCCAUCAAGAUGGAGGAAUUUGCAAGGACAGCCUUCACACUGUACGCUGGAGGCACUGGUGUUUGUUCAUCCUCCAGGGUCCAUGCAUUUUAGAGAUGUCUGUUUUGUUGAGAGGGAGGCCUAGUUGAACUGAGCUCAGUGUAACCCAUAAUCAUACUGGUGCUCGAGUUACCUCAUUUAAACUUAGCUCAGGUACCACUCUGCUGCUGUACUGCAGUUGUAACAACUACCCUGAGGAAUAUCACUAAUGCAAUCAUAAUUCUUAUAGGCCAGGUAAACUAAGGAAAGGUUUGGAUUUUUUCUUGACUGUUUGGGGUUUGGUUUAACUGGCAAGGAAGGAGAAGAGCUGUAAUGAAAAUCACGUAGUCUGCUGCCUAGUGAGCUUUCAGGGAAAUGUUUUAAUAAGCACUUAGAGACAAGAAGAAAUGCUUGCUAACGCAGCCAGUCAUGUGUGGAUCAAGGAAUGAGUGACAGGUCAAUUAACCUGCUCAUUUGAAGAAUUGAUGUUCCUUAAUCCUCAGAUCCAAACCUACUGAGUCACAAUAUGCUCAUGUACCUACAAAAGAUCAAUCAACCUUGCACAUUAAAUCUUGAUACAAGCAGUGUCGUAGAUUAUUACCAUAGGUGUUUCUUAAAGUGUGUUUAGGUUGUGAGAAGAUUUCAGGAAUAGAAGUGCACCAUCUCUGCUAAGCAUUUAUUGCAUCAUUAUUUAUGAUAAAAGUCAGUAGGGCUUUAAUAGCAUUUCCGAGUUUUGUUUUAUGUCAUUUAUUACUCUCACUCUGAUUCAACUCAGCAUAAAAGCAGAAGUAGUAUCCUUCAUUAUUUUUCUCUGUACUUCACCAGUGGACAAAAGAGACAAAAUACACCUUUCCAGGAGUUAGAAUAGCUACAGGGUUAAUAUUUUAUUCUUUUUUUGUUUUUUGAAGAGUUGUGUUUUGUUUUCUUUUGUGGUGUUUUUUUUUGGUUUUUUUUUUUUUUUUUUUGGUUGGUUGGGUUUUUUUUGUGGGUUUUUUUUGGCUUUUUGAGCAAAACAGUUGUCCUCCUGAGUGGUCUAUCUAGCCCAAUAGUCUCUUUCCCAAAGUGGCACUGGGAAGUGUCAAUGAGCUUAGUCACUGUGUAUUCUCCUCAGACUCCACUUGAGUCAUUGAAUCAGGGAUGUUGGAGGAUCCUUGCCUAUUUUUUGUCCCCUUUUGGACCUCUUGAGCAUGAGUAUGUCUCAUCCCUUGUUUGUGUUGGUACUUCCCACCUCUGUGACAUCGUGUGUCAAUAAGUUCCAGAACUUAGGUGAGAAGAGGGGAAAAAAAAGUAGUUGUGGAUUUUUUGGGCUUUUUUAAGGGAUGUCUUGUUGCUUUCACCCCCAUCUUUUUAGGAAUUGCAGAAUUUGACAAAGAAACAGUUCUGCCUUGAACAUUUGUUGCACUCAUUCAUCACUUAAGUGAAAUGUGUAAUCAUGAAGGUGAAGAAUCCCUUCAAAGUGCCAGUUUUAAUUGUUUCAAGAGAUUUGGACUGUCACAGGCUUUAGAACGGCUGUGGUUUGUUGACCAGUCUUGAUUUACUGGAGUUUGUUGUUGAACUUUUCUUCUUUGAAGGAGAAAAUUCAGUGGUUUUUGAAUUUUUUGGAAAA
Molecule: non-coding RNA, 2086 nt
Organism: Taeniopygia guttata (zebra finch)
Lineage: Eukaryota; Metazoa; Chordata; Aves; Passeriformes; Estrildidae
Source: RefSeq, a predicted model, not a curated record